This is a long non-coding RNA of Heterocephalus glaber (naked mole-rat), 1942 nucleotides long. RefSeq lists it as uncharacterized. The record is from RefSeq and is a predicted model, not a curated record. NCBI's taxonomy places the organism in Eukaryota, Metazoa, Chordata, Mammalia, Rodentia, Bathyergidae.
UGAGAAUUUAAGUUCAGCCUGGACUACAGAUGCCCCAGAAUCUGUCUCCUAGGUCUAGGGUAGAGGGAAGAAAGGCAAAGGGGAGGCAACACCAGGAACAAAAGAGAAAAGUGACUGCAGAGAAAGGUUCAGGCCUGAUGCGCUUAGGAACUGGCAGCCCUGCCCCCAUGCUGGGCCUCAGUUUCCCCAUGAGAACAAGAAGCAGUGGACAUUGCCAGGGCCCUCUUCCUUCCUGACAAGUAUGAGGAAAUGGAAGAGCAAGGCUGCUCGGCCACUCAGAGCCUCAGCUCUGCUCUGCAAGGCGAGGCCGUGGUGCCACCUGCCGGGUAUGCAGGGUCUGUGAGGCCAGGCCGGAAGCACCUGGUGUCUCCCACACGAUGCUCGGUCCUUGCACACUCUGCUCUCCUUGAGGCCAGUGUACAGGUGCACGGGUGGAGAUCGGCCAAGGCAGGUGCGUGCACAGCUUCUCUCACUGGAGAGCAGGAAGAAGGCUGCUGAGGAGGUGGCACUUUACGUAUCUUCCUGAAGACAGCCGAGGAGGCCGCCCCGAGGAUCCUGCAGAACUGAGCUGCCGGAACCAGCCCACACGGCUCCCAGGACUCACCUGCGUCUCAGCUGUCAGAGGAGGAAGUGGGAGCCAAAGAAGGAGCAUGUGCCAAAAUAAUGAUAAGGAGUCGAAUACAGCAGCCACGGUGGCAAAUGCCUCUAAUCUCCCCGGUUCCGGAAGCUGAGGCAGGAGGAUCCAAGUUCCAACUUAGCAAGACCCUAUCUCAAGAAAUUGAGUGACCUGACCUGGAGUCCCUUCCCACCACACUGCUGCAGGAUGCCACCAGGGGGCCCCCUGCACCGGAGUUCCUGAGACUCGCAGUGCACAGUGUAAAUGACUCCUGGUUACAGACCUUGUUCUUGUUGUUGUUGUUAUUUAGACAGGGUCUCACUAUGCAGCCCCGGCUGGCCUUGAACUCCCUAUGUACCCCAGCUGACCUUGAAUUUGUGGUAAUCCUUCUGCCUCAGCCUCUUAGAGUGCUAGGAUCACAGGUGUGCACCACCCCCCCCAGCUGAAAGUGGCCCUGUGUCCCCAAGAGUGGAGAUGCCUCACUCAGGGCGGGCUGGUCUUCCCGGCCUCCAGGUCACUCGGGGGGGACUCUGUUUCUCCAUCCUCUGGGAAGGUCAUGCCCGAUUAGGGGAGCCCCCUCUUUGUAGUCUGGCCCUGGGCCCCCUACUUCUCUGAGCCGUGGUCAUUGCUGCCUGGAGUCAGCACCAAGAAGCCAGAGAGGAAAUGCAUGGAGGUUUGAUAUUCAAGCCACCGCCUGUGCAGAUGAGGGGCACAAAGCCUGGUCCCUGCGCUGCCCGAGCCACCACUGCCAGGGCCGGGGCCCCUCCUCUCAUCCACGGCAACUCAGGGACCCCCGAUGCUCUCAGGGUACCACAGCCUGGCCAUUUUUCUGCACAGAGGGACCUCGAGUUGCUGCAGGGAUAAAGGGGUGUGUGCUCAGAGGCCACGGAGUGUCCCCUCUCACCCAGACCACAGUUAGAAACCAAGGAGCUGAGUCACUCCCUUCGCUUGUUCCACUGUAGAGGCCACAGCGCACUAAGGAUUGUCCAGGCAGAAGCGUAGGAGGCUGUGGAGAUCACUGACAGCAGUGAGAUGGCGGGGCAUCUCAGGUUGGAGGUGUCUUGUCAGGCCUGGCCUAAACCAACAGGACAAAGCAAACAGGCUGCGUUCAAGCAACCAACAGCAGCUUCUCUGUAAACAUGACAAAUGAACUCAAAACAAACUGUACAACCCCUCUGACCCCAAAAAGUCCAGCAAUUGUCUACACAACCGAGCAGACGUCCUUGGGCAUUUGAGUCAUAAACAUUUCACCCCAGAUUCCUUAGCCCCGUCAAUACCUUUAUGAGCUUAAACCUUCCCCAGUCAGCUGCUGAUCUCUCUCUCCUC